RNAcentral lists this transfer RNA (85 nucleotides) under Felis catus (domestic cat). It matches the Rfam family "tRNA". Rfam says of the family: Transfer RNA (tRNA) molecules are approximately 80 nucleotides in length. The record is from Rfam by way of RNAcentral. Lineage: Eukaryota; Metazoa; Chordata; Mammalia; Carnivora; Felidae.
GCCUGGGUGGCUCAGUCAGUUAAGCAUCUGACUUUGGAUCAGGUCAUGAUCUCACGGUUCAUGGGUUCGAGCCCCGCAUCAGGCU